RNAcentral lists this ribosomal RNA (301 nucleotides) under uncultured bacterium. RNAcentral describes it as "partial 16S ribosomal RNA". It matches the Rfam family "Bacterial small subunit ribosomal RNA", at positions 509 to 809 of the family's 1533-position model. The record is from RNAcentral.
CAGUCGCCGCGGUAAUACGUAGGGUGCGAGCGUUAAUCGGAAUUACUGGGCGUAAAGCGUGCGCAGGCGGUUGUGUAAGACAGGUGUGAAAUCCCCGGGCUUAACCUGGGAACUGCGCUUGUGACUGCACAGCUAGAGUAUGGCAGAGGGGGGUGGAAUUCCACGUGUAGCAGUGAAAUGCGUAGAGAUGUGGAGGAACACCGAUGGCGAAGGCAGCCCCCUGGGCCAAUACUGACGCUCAUGCACGAAAGCGUGGGGAGCAAACAGGAUUAGAUACCCGUGUAGUCACUGUCUAUUAUAA